RNAcentral lists this ribosomal RNA (368 nucleotides) under uncultured bacterium. RNAcentral's name for it is "bacterial SSU rRNA". It matches the Rfam family "Bacterial small subunit ribosomal RNA", at positions 527 to 896 of the family's 1533-position model. The record is from RNAcentral.
GUAGGGUGCAAGCGUUAUCCGGAUUUAUUGGGCGUAAAGAGCUCGUAGGUGGUUUGUCGCGUCGUUUGUGAAGUCCCGGGGCUUAACUUCGGGCGUGCAGGCGAUACGGGCAUAACUUGAGUGCUGUAGGGGAGACUGGAAUUCCUGGUGUAGCGGUGAAAUGCGCAGAUAUCAGGAGGAACACCAAUGGCGAAGGCAGGUCUCUGGGCAGUAACUGACGCUGAGGGACGAAAGCGUGGGUAGCGAACAGGAUUAGAUACCCUGGUAGUCCACGCCGUAAACGAUGGAUACUAGUUGUUGGGUUUUCGGAUUCAGUGACUAAGCGAAAGUGAUAAAUAUCCCACCUGUGGAGUACGAACGCAAGUUUG